This 253-nucleotide ribosomal RNA is filed under the name uncultured prokaryote. RNAcentral describes it as "partial 16S ribosomal RNA". It matches the Rfam family "Bacterial small subunit ribosomal RNA", at positions 524 to 776 of the family's 1533-position model. The record is from RNAcentral.
UACGUAGGUGGCAAGCGUUGUCCGGAUUUAUUGGGUUUAAAGGGUGCGUAGGCGGAACAGUAAGUCAGUGGUGAAAUCCUGUUGCUUAACAACAGAACUGCCAUCGAUACUGCUGAUCUUGAGUACAUAUGAUGUGGGCGGAAUGUGCCAUGUAGCGGUGAAAUGCUUAGAUAUGACACAGAACACCGAUUGCGAAGGCAGCUCACUAAGUCAUAACUGACGCUGAUGCACGAAAGCGUGGGGAGCAAACAGG